AAUAAGUGCAGUUUUGCACUGUUCAUUUCCAACGUUCGAUUGUUCGUCUUAUUUGAAAUUUUAUUAUGAUCAGUAUUUUUAUUUUUAUUAGAUGAUAAAACAUGAGUUGUACUUUAUGCGAUUAGUUUAUUUAUUUUUUCAUAAAUUUUUUAAAUAAGAUGGAUGAUCAAACUUUGGAUACGGAUACCCACCAUUGCACUUAUU
Oryza punctata is the source of this 204-nucleotide non-coding RNA. The record is from Rfam. Lineage: Eukaryota; Viridiplantae; Streptophyta; Magnoliopsida; Poales; Poaceae.